RNAcentral lists this small RNA (127 nucleotides) under Marmota monax (woodchuck). The record is from RNAcentral. Lineage: Eukaryota; Metazoa; Chordata; Mammalia; Rodentia; Sciuridae.
ACCGGGUGUGAUGGUGCAUGCCUGUAAUCCCAGCAGCUCAGGAGGCUGAGGCAGGAGGAUUGCAAGUUUGAGGCCAGCCUCAGCAACUUAGCAAGGCCCUAAACAACUUUGUGAGACCCUGUCUCAA